Molecule: long non-coding RNA, 1263 nt
Filed under: Coturnix japonica (Japanese quail)
Lineage: Eukaryota; Metazoa; Chordata; Aves; Galliformes; Phasianidae
Description: lncRNA (ENSCJPG00005011288.1)
Source: RNAcentral
AUGGCACACACCCGCAGCACACAGCCUCACCUCAACCGGGUGGCAACAAAGAGAAGAAAAGAGAAACUAAAAGAGAUCUUCGAGCGCUUUGUUCGACGACAAGGCGGACGGAAAAAGUUUCCCUCGUUGUGCAGUGACCGACACGGCUCACACAGCGCAGGGAGCGGCGGACAAAGCCCCGCACGGCACCGGCCGGCAGAACGGGCACGGGGGGGGGGGUUGGGGGAGCGCAGUAUCGCAUCCCCACACGACAGCGGCCGCCCAGCCCAAGUUGUGUUAGCGCUGCCGGCUCCGAACACAAUUACAGCCCGAGCCCCGGCGGCGCGGAAGCAGCGCCAAUCCGCCUCGUCCCGCCCUCCUUCCCGCCGCUCUCCCCGCUCAUCACAAAGCGCCUCGCUCCGGCUCUCCCCGAACAAAGCCCCCGCCCCGCUCCCACCCGCCGCCCCUCCCGCCGUCGCCGCCCGCUCCCACCUCGGCGCCGCGAGCACACAAAGGCGGCCAGCCCGCCGCGCAGGCCCCGCGCCGCCCCGCCACAACAUGGCCCCCCUCCCGCCCUCUCUCCGUCUCUCCCCUCCCUCGCCGCAGACAAAAGGGGGCUGGAGGAACGGGGGAAGGGGGCCGGCCCGCUCCCUCCCGCGGCCCAACGCCCCGCGCGGUGCCGCCGCUACUCACGGGCUGUCUGGCUGGCGGCGCCGUUCGCCGCGACGGAGCCGGAGCGGGCCGUGGGACACCGCCGGCCGCCCGCCGCCCCCCGCCGCUCGCUCGUGUCGGCUCGUCUCCUUCCGGCCUCCCCUCCCCCCCCUCGGCCGCGAGGGGCUCACAACAACAUGGCGGGAGGGCGCGCGCGGAGGGAGAGGGACAGCGACAGCGCGGCCAAGCUCCCCCCGCCGCCACCGCCGCCGCUCGCCCCGGCCGCCGCCACAGCGCAUGCGCGCCCCGCGCCGGGAGGAGGCGGGGAGGCGGCCUCCGGCACCUUCCGCCGCUCAGCGCGCAUGCGCCGCCCGCCGUGUCCCUCAGAAUCACAGAAUGACCCGGGUUGGAAGAGACCUCAAGGAUCGUGUAGUUCCAACCCCCCUGCCCGGCCGGGCCACCAAACACACACAGUUACUAGAUCAGGUUGCCCAGGGCCCUGUCCAACCUGGCCUUGAACACCUGCAAGGACGGGGCAUCCACAACCUCCCUGGGCAGCCUGUUCCAGGGCCUAACCACUCUUCUAGUGAAGAACUUCCCCCUAACAUCCAACCUAAAUCUUCCCUCUUUUAA